RNAcentral lists this long non-coding RNA (1390 nucleotides) under Anas platyrhynchos platyrhynchos (common mallard). RNAcentral's name for it is "lncRNA (ENSAPLG00000029518.1)". Lineage: Eukaryota; Metazoa; Chordata; Aves; Anseriformes; Anatidae. The record is from RNAcentral.
UAAUCUUGCUCAAAGAAUUCUCCACAGAUGCUUACUCUGGUGUGAGCUGCUGUGCUGAUUCAGUUGCUGUCAAGAAUUUCCAUAGCUCAACUUCCCAAGAGAAGAGAGAUGUUAAUGUCAGUGCCAAAAAAUUCAUACUCAGAUUCACAGCUUUGGCUUGUCAGGGAUUUUAAGGCCAAAAUGGACCAUUGUGAUUAUCUGGCUUGAUCUUCCUGAUAACCCAGGCAAGCAAAGUUCACACCAGGAUUUCUACAUCAAAGCCAGUGACUGGCAGCAGAAUGUGUGUUGGAAAAGGACACAGGGCCUCAGUUCAAAGACUCCGUAUCCAUCUCUCAGUAACCUGAGUCCAUAAUCUAAUUACCACCACUGCCCAAAUGUGAACUUUAUUUCUAUUUGAAUAUAUCUAGCUUUUACAUAUAGCAAAAUUGUUGUUAUUUACUGGAUUUAGGGGGUAUUUUCUACUAAAUUACAUAAUUCCAUGCAUUCACAAACGAACCCACUGUUUUAGCAGUUAUGGAUCAUAUCCGCUUGUCAAGAAAGGAAAUUAAAACCUGUCAUUUUACCUGACAAAAGAUGAGUUAGAGGUUGCAGGUCUCCAGAGCCAAGUACAAGGACACUGAUACAUAAAGCAAUGUUGGAAGUGUAGUAGCGAUGUUUCUGUGGUUGCUGUGAAGAUCAUGAUUGAUACAGGUGUAAUCCAAUAAAGGAAAAAUGAUUGAUAUGUUUAUUAUUUGAAGUUCAGUUUCAACCAUUUUGACUCAGCCUUAAAUGCAUUAAGCUUUAUUUCUACUUAGGAGACACUGCUCAGCUGGUUGAAUUUGGAGGCUCAGGACUCUGACUCUGAAUUUAGAGAAGGUCCAGCUGUGAGGGGGAUGGAGUAUUUCCCAAUGAGAAACAGUUGCUGCUGCGACACCAACGUACUCACAAAGGUUAGUCAACUAAUGAGACUUCAUCGCAAAACCUGUGAAUGAGAGGGAGGAGGGAGAUGAUUUAUUUAAGUGGCUGGAGGGCUGCAGCACCCAAAGCUGCUUCUUGGCCUCGGGUACCUGUACCAGGCCCCUUGAUGGAGACAAGGAGCCACAGCAGAGGAAAGCAGCAUCAGGAUCCUUGUGCUCCAGGUGGGGAGAUGUGGCUUGUACAGAGUCUGUGUCUUGUUUGCCCCAGUGUAAUGCCUUCAGAGUGCCCUUUGCAUAGUUCUUCUGGUGAACUCUUUUAGGGGAGUUUUGAAGCGCUGAAGCCUGUACUCUGGUUACGUAAAUACCUACAUCCACUUCUCUGAGCAGCGCUGUGCUUCCUCUAUUCCCUCCUUCCACCUGCUCUUCCAAGGGGACCACAGUCCUCCUAGCAAGAUCAGUCUGUUGCUAUGGAAAUCUUUGUCACAAAUGAAGAC